This is a long non-coding RNA of Varroa destructor (honeybee mite), 521 nucleotides long. RefSeq lists it as uncharacterized. Lineage: Eukaryota; Metazoa; Arthropoda; Arachnida; Mesostigmata; Varroidae. The record is from RefSeq and is a predicted model, not a curated record.
GUCCGAGUCAUAGCUGUUUCACUCAUUUGUAUAGACCUAACAAGAUCACAACUAUCCUUAACAGGAAAGCGCACACUGGCUAGCCUUCAAUCUUAGGCGAAACAAUCGUGCAGACAUAUGACGGCCUGAGUCGAGCAGUAAACACAUUGAUAUCUAGGUAAAGCGGAACGAAACGCUUCCAUUGAGGGAGCUGCCAGUUGCCAACGGUCGUGGACAUGUACCUUGUGAGCAGAUCGUAGUUGCUUUCCUGAAGCUUCACCUGCAAAUAUUGUAUACCAACAACAGUGGGAACCUCACCUGCCAUGCCAUUCACAUACAGUGUCGACCAGAUAGUCUCAGUACCACGAUAUGGAAAGAAAAGGACUAGAGCAGCAUGACACAUCCCGCAUCAGUCAAGACUUCAGGGUUGUACGAUGUUCAAAUGCCAAUGCUUCGAGAACAACUCGAAGAAGAAAGAUGUAGAUGAGAGAUUUUGUCACGAUCCGUUCGUUACCCAGUUGUAAGAAUGAGAUACUUCGAAG